ACACGGACCAAGGAGUCUAACAUAUGUGCAAGUUAUUGGGAGAUAACCUAAUAGCGUAAUUAACUUGACUAAUAAUGGAUUAGUUUUUUAACUAUUUAUAGAUAAUUAACACAAUCCCGGGGCGUUCUAUAUAGUUAUGUAUGAUAAUAUUUAUAUUAUUUAUGCCUCUAACUGGAACGUACCUUGAGCAUAUAUGCUGUGACCCGAAAGAUGGUGAACUAUACUUGAUCAGGUUGAAGUCAGGGAAACCCUGAUGGAAGACCGAAACAGUUCUGACGUGCAAAUCGAUUGUCAGAAUUGAGUAUAGGGGCGAAAGACCAAUCGAACCAUCUAGUAGCUGGUUCCUUCCGAAGUUUCCCUCAGGAUAGCUGGUGCAUUUUAAUGUUAUAUAAAAUAAUCUUAUCUGGUAAAGCGAAUGAUUAGAGGCCUUAGGGUCGAAACGAUCUUAACCUAUUCUCAAACUUUAAAUGGGUAAGAACCUUAACUUUCUUGAUAUGAAGUUUAAGGUUAUGAUAUAAUGUGCCCAGUGGGCCACUUUUGGUAAGCAGAACUGGCGCUGUGGGAUGAACCAAACGUAAUGUUACGGUGCCCAAAUUAACAACUCAUGCAGAAACCAUGAAAGGCGUUGGUUGCUUAAAACAGCAGGACGGUGAUCAUGGAAGUCGAAAUCCGCUAAGGAGUGUGUAACAACUCACCUGCCGAAGCAACUAGCCCUUAAAAUGGAUGGCGCUUAAGUUGUAUACCUAUACAUUACCGCUAAAGUAGAUGAUUUAUAUUACUUGUGAUAUAAAUUUUGAAACUUUAGUGAGUAGGAAGGUACAAUGGUAUGCGUAGAAGUGUUUGGCGUAAGCCUUCAUGGAGCUGCCAUUGGCACAGAUCUUGGUGGUAGUAGCAAAUAAUCGAAUGAGACCUUGGAGGACUGAAGUGGAGAAGGUUUCGUGUGAACAGUGGUUGAUCACGAGUUAGUCGGUCCUAAGUUCAAGGCGAAAGCCGAAAAUUUUCAAGUAAAAAAUCAGUGAGUAAUAUUGUCAAAUCUUUUAUGAUUUUUAAAUACUUGAAUAAUUUUGAACGAAAGGGAAUACGGUUCCAAUUCCGUAACCUGUUGAGUAUCCGUUUGUUAUUAAAUAUGGGCCUCGUGCUCAUCCUGGCAACAGGAACGACCAUAAAGAAGCCGUCGAGAGAUAUCGGAAGAGUUUUCUUUUCUGUUUUAUAGCCGUACUACCAUGGAAGUCUUUCGCAGAGAGAUAUGGUAGAUGGGCUAGAAGAGCAUGACAUAUACUGUUGUGUCGAUAUUUUCUCCUCGGACCUUGAAAAUUUAUGGUGGGGACACGCAAACUUCUCAACAGGCCGUACCAAUAUCCGCAGCUGGUCUCCAAGGUGAAGAGUCUCUAGUCGAUAGAAUAAUGUAGGUAAGGAAGUCGGCAAAUUAGAUCCGUAACUUCGGGAUAAGGAUUGGCUCUGAAGAUUGAGAUAGUCGGGCUUGAUUGGGAAACAAUAACAUGGUUUAUGUGCUCGUUCUGGUAAAUAGAGUUUCUAUCAUUUAUGGUAGUUACUUGUUCCCGGAUAGUUUAGUUACGUAGCCAAUUGUGGAACUUUCUUGCUAAAAUUUUUAAGAAUACUAAUUGGGUUAAACCAGUUAGUUCUUAUUAAUUAUAACGAUUAUCAAUUAACAAUCAAUUCAGAACUGGCACGGACUUGGGGAAUCCGACUGUCUAAUUAAAACAAAGCAUUGUGAUGGCCCUAGCGGGUGUUGACACAAUGUGAUUUCUGCCCAGUGCUCUGAAUGUCAAAGUGAAGAAAUUCAAGUAAGCGCGGGUCAACGGCGGGAGUAACUAUGACUCUCUUAAGGUAGCCAAAUGCCUCGUCAUCUAAUUAGUGACGCGCAUGAAUGGAUUAACGAGAUUCCUACUGUCCCUAUCUACUAUCUAGCGAAACCACAGCCAAGGGAACGGGCUUGGAAUAAUUAGCGGGGAAAGAAGACCCUUUUGAGCUUGACUCUAAUCUGGCAGUGUAAGGAGACAUAAGAGGUGUAGCAUAAGUGGGAGAUAUUAGAUUUCGGUUUGGUAUCGACAAUGAAAUACCACUACUCUUAUUGUUUCCUUACUUACUUGAUUAAAUGGAACGUGUAUCAUUUCCUAGCCAUUAUACGGAUAUAUUUAUUAUAUCUUAUGGUAUUGGGUUUUGAUGCAAGCUUCUUGAUCAAAGUAUCACGAGUUUGUUAUAUAAUCGCAAACAAAUUCUUUAAUGAGAAAAUGCAUUUAUGUAUUUUCAAUUUGAAAAUUUGGUAUAACUCCAAUUACUCAGGUAUGAUCCAAUUCAAGGACAUUGCCAGGUAGGGAGUUUGACUGGGGCGGUACAUCUCUCAAAUAAUAACGGAGGUGUCCCAAGGCCAGCUCAGUGCGGACAGAAACCACACAUAGAGCAAAAGGGCAAAUGCUGACUUGAUCUCGGUGUUCAGUACACACAGGGACAGCAAAAGCUCGGCCUAUCGAUCCUUUUGGUUUAAAGAGUUUUUAACAAGAGGUGUCAGAAAAGUUACCAUAGGGAUAACUGGCUUGUGGCGGCCAAGCGUUCAUAGCGACGUCGCUUUUUGAUCCUUCGAUGUCGGCUCUUCCUAUCAUUGUGAAGCAAAAUUCACCAAGCGUUGGAUUGUUCACCCAUGCAAGGGAACGUGAGCUGGGUUUAGACCGUCGUGAGACAGGUUAGUUUUACCCUACUAAUGACAAAACGUUGUUGCGACAGCAUUCCUGCGUAGUACGAGAGGAACCGCAGGUACGGACCAAUGGCACAAUACUUGUUCGAGCGAACAGUGGUAUGACGCUACGUCCGUUGGAUUAUGCCUGAACGCCUCUAAGGUCGUAUCCGUGCUGGACUGCAAUGAUAAAUAAGGGGCAAUUUGCAUUGU
RNAcentral lists this ribosomal RNA (2905 nucleotides) under Drosophila pseudoobscura pseudoobscura. RNAcentral's name for it is "eukaryotic LSU rRNA". It matches the Rfam family "Eukaryotic large subunit ribosomal RNA", at positions 659 to 3185 of the family's 3401-position model. The record is from RNAcentral. Lineage: Eukaryota; Metazoa; Arthropoda; Insecta; Diptera; Drosophilidae.